GGUCGAUCUCCCCAGGAGAGGGGAGGCCCCGGAGCCUGACGGCCACUCACCCGAGCGCCGCCGCCGCUGUCGAGACUUCAAAGGAAGUAGAAAGUCAUCUCCCAGCACAAUGAACUCCACUGAUAAAGAAAACUCAUCCGAUCUUAUAGAAAUAGAAGAUACAUCAGAGAUAAUAGAAUCAGCAAAGAUAAAGGAUAUUGCUGAUGCCACACAAAACGUGGUGAAUGACAAGAAAAAUUCAUUUUUUUGCCCGAAAAACAAUUCAUGGAUCUGAAAGACCUCCAGCGGAAAUAUUAUAAGGGCAUUUUGAAGUGGAAACGAAAAUCCCGGCUUCUGUUCAAAGACGUAUCUUUUGUUAUUGAAAAGGCAUUCGUACCAGAAAUGAUCUCACUUGAUUAUAAGCCCAUCAUCGUUUUUAAGCUGGU
Vombatus ursinus (common wombat) is the source of this 425-nucleotide long non-coding RNA. RefSeq lists it as uncharacterized. The record is from RefSeq and is a predicted model, not a curated record. NCBI's taxonomy places the organism in Eukaryota, Metazoa, Chordata, Mammalia, Diprotodontia, Vombatidae. The transcript is spliced from 3 exons.